UCCAGACUCCUACGGGAGGCAGCAGUGGGGAAUAUUGCACAAUGGGCGCAAGCCUGAUGCAGCCAUGCCGCGUGUAUGAAGAAGGCCUUCGGGUUGUAAAGUACUUUCAGCGGGGAGGAAGGUGUUGUGGUUAAUAACCACAGCAAUUGACGUUACCCGCAGAAGAAGCACCGGCUAACUCCGUGCCAGCAGCCGCGGUAAUACGGAGGGUGCAAGCGUUAAUCGGAAUUACUGGGCGUAAAGCGCACGCAGGCGGUCUGUCAAGUCGGAUGUGAAAUCCCCGGGCUCAACCUGGGAACUGCAUUCGAAACUGGCAGGCUGGAGUCUUGUAGAGGGGGGUAGAAUUCCAUGUGUAGCGGUGAAAUGCGUAGAGAUGUGGAGGAAUACCGGUGGCGAAGGCGGCCCCCUGGACAAAGACUGACGCUCAGGUGCGAAAGCGUAGGGAGCAAACAGGAUUAGAUACCCGAGUAA
This 471-nucleotide ribosomal RNA is filed under the name uncultured bacterium. Its description in RNAcentral is "bacterial SSU rRNA". It matches the Rfam family "Bacterial small subunit ribosomal RNA", at positions 330 to 793 of the family's 1533-position model. The record is from RNAcentral.